GUUUGGGAGGCGCGCGGGACAGUUGUCGUGAGGGGUGGGGGGAAGGGCGGGGCCGGCGCCUGAGGCGGAGAAGAAAUGCGUGUUUUUUAAAAAAAUUUCUCGCAUGAGCUCAAGGUGGGCACGUGUUUCAUCUCAACAACAACCACCACCUUGUGAGGUAAGCCAGCCUGAGGAGCAGAGUUGAGUUGCAAGCCGCGUCUACUUUGGAGCAAGGCCCCGACUCCUUCAGCCUCCCACCAGAAAGCAAAACGUUCUUUUGGAAGCUGAACAUCCGACGGGGCUUCCA
Molecule: non-coding RNA, 286 nt
Organism: Podarcis muralis (Common wall lizard)
Lineage: Eukaryota; Metazoa; Chordata; Lepidosauria; Squamata; Lacertidae
Source: RefSeq, a predicted model, not a curated record